UACAGGGGGCUAGCGUUGUCCGGAUUUCUUGGGCGUAAAGAGCGUGUAGGCGGCCCGGUAAGUCUGUUGUGAAAGUCCAGGGCUCAACCCUGGAAUGCCGAUGGAUACUGCCGGGCUAGAGUUCGGAAGAGGCGAGUGGAAUUCCUGGUGUAGCGGUGGAAUGCGCAGAUAUCAGGAGGAACACCUAUAGCGAAGGCAGCUCGCUGGGACGACACUGACGCUGAGACGCGAAAGCGUGGGGAGCGAACAGG
This 251-nucleotide ribosomal RNA is filed under the name uncultured bacterium. Its description in RNAcentral is "partial 16S ribosomal RNA". It matches the Rfam family "Bacterial small subunit ribosomal RNA", at positions 526 to 776 of the family's 1533-position model. The record is from RNAcentral.